CAGUAGCCACGGUAAUACAGAGGGUGCAAGCGUUAAUCGGAAUUACUGGGCGUAAAGCGCGCGUAGGUGGUUUGUUAAGUUGGAUGUGAAAUCCCCGGGCUCAACCUGGGAACUGCAUCCAAAACUGGCAAGCUAGAGUAUGGUAGAGGGUGGUGGAAUUUCCUGUGUAGCGGUGAAAUGCGUAGAUAUAGGAAGGAACACCAGUGGCGAAGGAGACCACCUGGACUGAUACUGACACUGAGGUGCGAAAGCGUGGGGAGCAAACAGGAUUAGAUACCCCUGUAGUCCCUGUCUCUUAUAC
Molecule: ribosomal RNA, 301 nt
Filed under: uncultured bacterium
Lineage: Bacteria
Description: partial 16S ribosomal RNA
Rfam family: Bacterial small subunit ribosomal RNA
Source: RNAcentral